Molecule: long non-coding RNA, 1163 nt
Organism: Poeciliopsis prolifica (blackstripe livebearer)
Lineage: Eukaryota; Metazoa; Chordata; Actinopteri; Cyprinodontiformes; Poeciliidae
Exons: 5
Source: RefSeq, a predicted model, not a curated record
GGGACGCAGGGGAGACCUGGAGGGACCCCAGGGAAACCUGUAGGGACCCCGGGGAGACCUGUAGGGACCCCGGGGAGACAUGUAGGGACGCUGGGGAAACCUGGAGGGACGCCGGGAAAAUCUGGAGGGACGCCGGGGAGACCUGGAGGGACGCCGGGAAAACCUGUAGGGACGCUGGGGAGAUCAAGGUCAGAAGAUGGUGAUGGUGAGCUUGCUUCUACUCUUCCCAUGAUGGCCAGUCAUCCUUAGACAGAAGCCGAAAACUUUUCAGAAGCUCCACAAACAGCUGUAGUACACAUGAUCCCUUCAACAGAAAAUUAUGCACUACCGUCUUCCACUGGAGAUGUAGGACAUCCCAAAGACCAGGUGUGUGAGGGAAAGCCAGAGCCCAGACUGCUGUACUGGGUUAUUUCUGUUUUGAACAGAAAUGGCCACAGAAAAAAAUGAGGAGCUGGAGUGUGGCAAGACGGCCAGGUGAGACGGCUGCAGCUGGACGGGCAGAUGGACCAGGUGGGCUACAGACGUCGGUUGUAGGAGGACGGAGGUGGACUGGAGGUUUGGAGAUGGAGGACUGGCCCAAACUGGCCCAAAAGGAGUACUGCUGAUCUGGACGCCGCAGAGGAGCUGGAGCCCAGCUGGAAGAGCGGGAAUUGCGGGAUCGCAGCUGGAGGUCUGUUGGGAACCGGAGGAUCGGUCGGCCUGGGAGCAGCAGAGGACUACAUCCCUUUCCCCUCCCUUGUUGUUGGGCCAGCUAAGACUCUCUCUCAGAUUUAAUCUGGAGAUGGAGGACUGGCCCCAAGGAGUGCUGCUGAUCUGGCGGCCAACUGUAGGAGUGGGGACUGCUAGGUCGCCGCUGGAGGUUCGCUGGGAACCGGAGGAUCGGUCGGACCUCUACUGGAAACAGUAGAGGACCGCGCCCCCUUUUCCCCGUUUUGGGCCAGUUAAGAAUCUCUCACAAACUUGUGUAUUGAUUUCUUGUCAGGAACUGUCUAUGCCUCCUUUUUUUAACCAGCUGUUUUUGUAAAUAAAUUAUUGAAUCUUGAUUGAGACUCUGUGUACAAUCCUUGCAGACUACUAUUUUCUUUAUUGAGACUAAAACCUCUCGACCAUCACAGGAGGCUCAACUUGCAGAGUUAAAGGGACUCUGAAGGGAUACCAGGGGA